Molecule: ribosomal RNA, 468 nt
Filed under: uncultured bacterium
Lineage: Bacteria
Description: partial 16S ribosomal RNA
Rfam family: Bacterial small subunit ribosomal RNA
Source: RNAcentral
GACGAACGCUGGCGGCGUGCCUAACACAUGCAAGUCGAACGGAAAGGCCCGGCUUUUGUGCGGUGCUCGAGUGGCGAACGGGUGAGUAACACGUGAGUAACCUGUCCCUGACUGUGGGAUAUCAUCAGGAAACAGGGGCUAUUAUCGGGUAGGAUCUCUUGCCCCAUGGUGGGGGUUGGUAAGUUUCGGCGUUUGGGGAUGGACUCGCUGCUUAUCGGCUUGUUGGGGGGGUAGUGGCUGACCACGGCUAUGAGGGGUAGCCUACCUGAGAGGAUGGACGGCCACACUAGGACUGAGAUAGGGCGCAGACGCCAACCGGACGCAAGGGUGGAGAGUGUGACGCAGCGGACGGGAGCGAGAUACGACGGCGCCGCGUGCGGAAAAACGGGCUUCUAGUUGUAAACAAAUUUGGCAUGAACCGGGGCGUGAGUGACGGUAAUGGGUAAAGAAGCACCGGCUAACUACGUG